GAGAGGGCGACCCACUCUGAUGAGCAAUCGUGCCACGAGCUCCCACUUAAUGUGGAAAAACCUGAACUUUAGGGAGUUUUAAAGGAAGCCAGAUACGUUUGUGAUCUCAUCAGCAGCAGCUACCAAACAAGAGUCUUCUCAGACACAACCGAAGUAAAGGGCAGUUAAUUCAUUUCACCAGGCAACACGAAGCAACCGAGUGAAGAUGAAAAGCUGUGGAGUCGUCUCAUCAGCCCAGCGGCGCCGCAGCUCGCCAACCUGCAGCAGAGAGUCAGGACACUGCUUUAUGGUGAAUGAGAAAAGAUGGAGAAGGAGAAUAUGUGGAAGCAACAGCCUGGGUAUUAAAGGACACAAAGUACAGGAAGUUUAAAAAUGUGUGUAAAGCUGCUCGUCACAGACAUCAGUGGCCAUCCGGUUCAAGGUCAUGUGGAUCCUGUCACCUAUCCCAGCUGCUGCGAGGUGAGAGACGGGAUAAACCCCGACAGGCUGCUGAUACUGCAGCACCAACACAGGAAGAUCAAACUGUCUGACAUGUGGCCAGUUUAGAAACACCGAACUAACCUAAACUACUCGUGUCUGGACCGUGGGAACGACGGAGAGAGCGUGUGAGCUGCACACAGAGCGGCUCUGAUGGAGGCGCAGUGUGGAGACUGUGGGUUUACAGUGUUAAUGAUGUCAACACGAAGGUUUUUCAGUGUAGUAAAUGAAACAUGUUUCCAUAUAAAUGUGAAGAAAAAGCAGUAACAGAAAAUAUAAACAAAUACAAGCACAGCACCUGCAAACUGCUGAAUAUGAGCAGCAACGAAUACAGACUUACAUCACCUGUGUUCAUGAAUAAGUAACAAACUGUUAGGGGUGGGGAAAAUGGAUACU
This is a long non-coding RNA of Neolamprologus brichardi, 873 nucleotides long. RefSeq lists it as uncharacterized. NCBI's taxonomy places the organism in Eukaryota, Metazoa, Chordata, Actinopteri, Cichliformes, Cichlidae. The record is from RefSeq and is a predicted model, not a curated record.